GACGAACGCUGGCGGCGUGUCUAAUACAUGCAAGUAGAACGCUGAAGGAGGAGCUUGCUUCUCUGGAUGAGUUGCGAACGGGUGAGUAACGCGUAGGUAACCUGCCUGGUAGCGGGGGAUAACUAUUGGAAACGAUAGCUAAUACCGAAUAAUAGUAGAUGUUGCAUGACAUUUGCUUAAAAGGUGCAAUUGCAUCACUACCAGAUGGACCUGCGUUGUAUUAGCUAGUUGGUGAGGUAACGGCUCACCAAGGCGACGAUACAUAGCCGACCUGAGAGGGUGAUCGGCCACACUGGGACUGAGUCACGGCCCAGACUCCUACGGGAGGCAGCAGUAGGGAAUCUUCGGCAAUGGACGGAAGUCUGACCGAGCAACGCCGCGGGAGUGAAGAAGGUUUUCGGAUAGUAAUGCUCUGUUGUAAGAGAAGAACGAGUGUGAGAGUGGAAAGUUCACACUGUGACGGUAUCUUACCAGAAAGGGACGGCUAACUACGUG
Molecule: ribosomal RNA, 495 nt
Filed under: uncultured bacterium
Lineage: Bacteria
Description: partial 16S ribosomal RNA
Rfam family: Bacterial small subunit ribosomal RNA
Source: RNAcentral